RNAcentral lists this ribosomal RNA (447 nucleotides) under uncultured Methanobrevibacter sp. Its description in RNAcentral is "bacterial SSU rRNA". It matches the Rfam family "Bacterial small subunit ribosomal RNA", at positions 338 to 800 of the family's 1533-position model. Lineage: Archaea; Methanobacteriati; Methanobacteriota; Methanobacteria; Methanobacteriales; Methanobacteriaceae. The record is from RNAcentral.
CCUACGGGAGGCAGCAGUGGGGAAUAUUGGGCAAUGGGCGGAAGCCUGACCCAGCAACGCCGCGUGAGGGAAGAAGGUUUUCGGAUUGUAAACCUCUGUUCUUGGGGAAGAGGAAGAGACGGUACCCAAGGAGGAAGCCCCGGCUAACUACGUGCCAGCAGCCGCGGUAAUACGUAGGGGGCGAGCGUUGUCCGGAAUGAUUGGGCGUAAAGGGCGCGCAGGCGGCCUGUCAAGUCAGUAGUGGAAGUCCAUUUUUCAAGGAUGGAAGUGCUAUAGAAACUGAUGGGCUUGAGUGCAGGAGAGGUUAUCGGAAUUCCCGGUGUAGCGGUGAAAUGCGUAGAGAUCGGGAGGAACACCAGUGGCGAAGGCGGGUAACUGGACUGCAACUGACGCUGAGGCGCGAAAGUGUGGGGAGCAAACAGGAUUAGAUACCCUUGUAGUCGCCGC